GGAUAGUUUAUGUAUUAAUGGUAAUAAAGCAUGGUUGGGUUUUAGUUGAUUAAGUGAUUUAUAUGUAUAAUGAUUUAUAUGAAUGAGCUACGUUCUGUUUAGUAAUAUCUCGUAACCCUAAUCCAGCGAUGGAUAUGGGUUAGGGGGUUACAUUUUAAUUGGUAUCAGAGCUACAGUUUAGUCGAUUCUAGGACUAAUGUAGCGCGUGUGAGUCUAGCUAUACA
RNAcentral lists this long non-coding RNA (224 nucleotides) under Gossypium barbadense (sea-island cotton). Its description in RNAcentral is "long non-coding RNA (GBAR_LNC013630)". Lineage: Eukaryota; Viridiplantae; Streptophyta; Magnoliopsida; Malvales; Malvaceae. The record is from RNAcentral.